CACCAUGAAAGAACAACAUCGGCGACACUAGCGACAUCUAGUAAUGAGUUUUGAAUCUUUAGUUGGUUGCACAGUCAAGUCACAGACAGACAUGACAGUUCACGUCAAAAAAGUUUAACAACGGAGAUCGGAUAGCAAGUUAACUGUUUUUAAAUAAUUUCAGCUGAAGUUUUCAUGUACCUUGUCAACUAGGUGCUUGUGACUGAAAUGAAAUGAUCUAAUCCAAAAAUGCAAGCUCACAACCUACGUCUUCUGAAGAAAAAUAAUUUCUGUUGCAGUUGUAAAUCUUCAAGAUGUUGAUGCCUUCGCCAGAUCCUGAUGAGAGAGAGAGAAUUCAUCAUUUUGUGUGCAACAGUUUUAAUUAUUUUUAUUUCUAAUUUAAAUUUUGCUUUAGAUUUUGCCGAAUGAGAACCAUUUUGUUGCCCAUCCACUGGAUCCAUCCAAGGAUAAGGAAAAGGCCAACACCACCAACACUGUCAACAAGGUUUAGCGUUUAUGUUCGCGUAGUUGCUGUCCGAUGUGGCACGUUGUUGCAGCCUAUGCUGGUGUCUGGUGAAAGAUCUUUCUGCAUCAAGUUCAACUGGUUGUUCCUUGGCGGUGUUGUUGUGUUACCAAAAUUGCGUCAUCAAUCAUCAUAUUGUUCAAUUAUUGUCAUUGUGUCUGCAGUUAUCGUUCAGGAGUUAAGAAGGAACAAAAACAAAUAUGGGAUGUUUAUGUCAAACAAAUAAUAAACAUGUUU
Molecule: unclassified non-coding RNA, 739 nt
Filed under: Daphnia pulex (common water flea)
Lineage: Eukaryota; Metazoa; Arthropoda; Branchiopoda; Diplostraca; Daphniidae
Description: uncharacterized LOC124203138, transcript variant X1
Source: RNAcentral